This 481-nucleotide ribosomal RNA is filed under the name uncultured bacterium. RNAcentral describes it as "partial 16S ribosomal RNA". It matches the Rfam family "Bacterial small subunit ribosomal RNA", at positions 28 to 507 of the family's 1533-position model. The record is from RNAcentral.
GAUGAACGCUGGCGGCGUGCUUAACACAUGCAAGUCGAACGAAGCAUUUAAGACAGAUUACUUCGGUUUGAGGUCUUUUAUGACUGAGUGGCGGACGGGUGAGUAACGCGUGGGUAACCUGCCUCAUACAGGGGGAUAGCAGCUGGAAACGGCUGGUAAUACCGCAUAAGCGCACAGUACCACAUGGUACAGUGUGAAAAACUCCGGUGGUAUGAGAUGGACCCGCGUCUGAUUAGCUUGUUGGCGGGGUAACGGCCCACCAAGGCGACGAUCAGUAGCCGACCGGAGAGGGUGACCGGCCACAUUGGGACUGAGACACGGCCCAGACUCCUACGGGAGGCAGCAGUGGGGAAUAUUGCACAAUGGAGGAAACUCUGAUGCAGCGACGCCGCGUGAGUGAAGAAGUAGUUCGCUAUGUAAAGCUCUAUCAGCAGGGAAGAUAGUGACGGUACCUGACUAAGAAGCGCCGGCUAAAUACGUG